This 253-nucleotide ribosomal RNA is filed under the name uncultured bacterium. RNAcentral describes it as "partial 16S ribosomal RNA". It matches the Rfam family "Bacterial small subunit ribosomal RNA", at positions 524 to 776 of the family's 1533-position model. The record is from RNAcentral.
UACGUAGGUGGCAAGCGUUAUCCGGAAUUAUUGGGCGUAAAGCGCGCGCAGGCGGUUUCUUAAGUCUGAUGUGAAAGCCCACGGCUCAACCGUGGAGGGUCAUUGGAAACUGGGGAACUUGAGUGCAGAAGAGAAAAGCGGAAUUCCUGGUGUAGCGGUGAAAUGCGCAGAUAUCAGGAAGAACACCCGUGGCGAAAGCGGCUCUCUGGAACGGUACUGACGCUGAGACGCGAAAGCGUGGGGAGCGAACAGG